GCGCGUGUGUGUGUGUGUGUGUCUUUACACUAAUAUUCAAUGAUUAUUGCUUUGAAAGAUUCCAUUUUUUUGAAUUUGGUAUGGAUUUCAUCUUAUGUACUUUGUGUGGGCAGACAAAUGUUUCUAUUGUGCAAACAAAUGUUUCUAUUGUGCUUCUCUCUCUCUCUUUAUUGUGUGUUUUACAUGUCAAGCAUUUUGAUUUUGUUUCCAUGAUUGAACCAUCUAGAAACACUGGCAUGAAUUUGUAGAUAAUUCUUACUUUUUGUUAAGAAGUAGCAUACAAAUUGGACUAGCUGGA
Molecule: unclassified non-coding RNA, 298 nt
Filed under: Hevea brasiliensis (rubber tree)
Lineage: Eukaryota; Viridiplantae; Streptophyta; Magnoliopsida; Malpighiales; Euphorbiaceae
Source: RNAcentral